AGUCGAGGGGUAGCAGGAAAAGCUUGCUUUUUUGCUGACGACCGGCGAACGGGUGCGUAACGCGUAUGCAACUUACCCUUAACAAAAGGAUAGCCCCGAGAAAUCGGGAUUAAUAUUCCAUAGUACUGCGAAAACGCAUGUUUUGACAUUUAAAGCUCCGGCGGAUAGAGAUGAGCAUGCGUCCCGUUAGUUUGUUGGUGAGGUAAUAGCGCACCAAGGCUACGAUGUCUAGGGGGCCUGAGAGGGUUGUCCCCCACACUGGUACUGAGACACGGACCAGACUCCUACGGGAGGCAGCAGUGAGGAAUAUUGGUCAAUGGACGAAAGUCUGAACCAGCCAUGCCGCGUGCAGGAUGACUGCCCUAUGGGUUGUAAACUGCUUUUAUAUAGGAAGAAACCUCUCGACGUGUCGAGAGCUGACGGUACUAUAAGAAUAAGGACCGGCUAACUCCGUGCCAGCAGCCGCGGUAAUACGGAGGGUCCAAGCGUUAUCCGGAUUUAUUGGGUUUAAAGGGUACGUAGGCGGAGUUUUAAGUCAGUAGUGAAAUCCCAUCGCUCAACGAUGGAACUGCUAUUGAUACUGAUACUCUUGAAUAUAGUUGAAGUGGGCGGAAUACGACAUGUAGCGGUGAAAUGCAUAGAUAUGUCGUGGAACACCAAUCGCGAAGGCAGCUCACUAAGCUAUUAUUGACGCUAAUGUACGAAAGCGUGGGUAGCGAACAGGAUUAGAUACCCUGGUAGUCCACGCCGUAAACGAUGAUUACUCGGUGGGCGAUACACAGUCAGUGGCUGAGCGAAAGCAUUAAGUGACCCACCUGGGGAGUACGUUCGCAAGAAUGAAACUCAAAGGAAUUGACGGGGGCCCGCACAAGCGGUGGAGCAUGUGGUUUAAUUCGAUGAUACGCGAGGAACCUUACCAGGGCUUAAAUGUAAAACGACAGAAUUGGAAACAAUUCUUUCUUCGGACGGAUUACAAGGUGCUGCAUGGUUGUCGUCAGCUCGUGCUGUGAAGUGUCGGGUUAAGUCCCAUAACGAGCGCAACCCCUAUCUUUAGUUGCCAGCGAGUAAUGCCGGGGACUCUGGAGAAACUGCCACCGUAAGGUGAGAGGAAGGUGGGGAUGACGUCAAAUCAUCACGGCCCUUACGUCCUGGGCUACACACGUGCUACAAUGGCGGGGACAGAGAGUUGCAAACCGGCGACGGUGAGCUAAUCUUCAAACCCCAUCUCACUUCGGAUCUUCGUUCGCAAUCUGCAACUCGACUAAGGAAAAUCGCUAGUAAUCGCGCGUAUCAGCCAUGGCGCGGUGAAUACGUUCCCGGGCCUUGUACACACCGCCCGUCAAGCCAUGGAAGCUGGGAGUGCCUGAAGUCGGUGACCGAAA
This 1382-nucleotide ribosomal RNA is filed under the name uncultured prokaryote. RNAcentral describes it as "partial 16S ribosomal RNA". It matches the Rfam family "Bacterial small subunit ribosomal RNA". The record is from RNAcentral.